RNAcentral lists this long non-coding RNA (1415 nucleotides) under Equus asinus (donkey). RNAcentral describes it as "lncRNA (ENSEASG00005038781.1)". Lineage: Eukaryota; Metazoa; Chordata; Mammalia; Perissodactyla; Equidae. The record is from RNAcentral.
UCCCUCAGGCCAUCAACCUAUUAAUUUUUCACACCGUCUCUGGUCUUCAUAGAACCAAAGAUUCUCAUUAUUAUAAAAUUACUUCACAUUCCCCACAUUCCAUACCCCUUGCCCCUGCAGCUUCUUGGCUCAAAUUUUCAACCUUAGAGCUGCCAAUCUUGGCCAGGAAGAAAGUGGCCUGUGUGGUGAGCAUCUGUUGGCGUCUUCCCGGCAUCCAUCUUCCCAUUCUGCCACUAGCAGCACCCAGAUUUCACUUCUCCAUUCUCAGCAGUGUGGUUUGCUGCACUAUUUAAUAAGACUUUAUGGAAGAUUCUAGGAUAGUGGAAGGGAGCUACAACACAGAGCACAACCAAUGAUUACCUCUAAAGGUGACUGUGCUGACUUCUUGGACCUGAAGGGUAUCCCAGAAAGAGGCCCUUUCCCCAGCCCCCCUGGUGAGCCCCAGAGAGAGGGGCCAGAGCCCCCCUGUACAGAUAAUGCCAGCCUCUGUCCUCUUCCAGAUGCCCUACAGCAGGAAGACCCAUCACAUUCAGGGAACACCGAGCCCCAACCACAGGGAGGGCCUUUGUCCCUCUAGACCCAGGGAGUCAGUUACUUGCGUCAAGGCAUUCUGGGUGAUGCAGUCUGGCCUGAAUUCAGGGUGGGGCUCUGGAAGUUCAGUCCAGGUUGGGUGGGGCCAAGCCCAGAUGAGUUUCUCUGUUUCUCCCAAUGUCCGAUCAGCCAGAGUCAGUCUGCAAGGCAGCCAGCCUGCAGGUCUUGCUGCGUGGCAGCUCCAUGUUUUCUGCACACUGUUUGAUGAAGGGCACACUGAAUCCUCUGUACCCCAACUAAGAUCCAGGUCUGAGAGGUGAUGCUUCUUUUUAAAUGUUCAAAUUGCAGCAAACAGCAAAAACAAAACACAUUUCUUCCAAAGUAGCCACAUGACUGAGGACAGAACUCUGCUACCUGACAGCCCUGGUUUCUGCCGUCACAAUCUGCAACUUUCAAGUCGGAAGCAUCUGUUUUGGGUCACUUCUCAGCAUUAAAUCUCCCUGAGAAGGAGAAGUGGGGUCCUACGGGAAACUGCAAAACUCGACUGCCCAUACGGAUGCUGUUCCCAGGAAAAAGGGACAUCAGCUUUAGAAUCUCAGGAUUUAGUUGUGGCUAGCGCACGUUGAUACAGAAGAAAGGUAAGAUGGGGGACAAAAUGGAUUCUGCAAAUACUGAAAGGACAUUGCAAACCUGGGUGAGGAUGAGUGGACACAAACAUACGGCCUAGGUAGAUAGACACCAAGUAGCAUAAAGAAGAUAGAGAGAUGGCUACACCCUGGAGAGAAGGGUAGGGGCAGUCACAUCAGGGGUAGUGAGUCAGAGAGAGGGAAGAGAUGUGAACCAGCCUUCUGCUCUCCCGCCCAGCUAGGCUCUGAUGUGGCUUU